Molecule: ribosomal RNA, 253 nt
Filed under: uncultured bacterium
Lineage: Bacteria
Also listed under: 1 other name
Description: partial 16S ribosomal RNA
Rfam family: Bacterial small subunit ribosomal RNA
Source: RNAcentral
UACGAAGGGGGCUAGCGUUGCUCGGAAUUACUGGGCGUAAAGCGCACGUAGGCGGCGACAAUAGUCAGAUGUGAAAGGCCUGGGCUCAACCCGGGAAUUGCAUUUGAUACUGUGUUGCUAGAGUCCAAGAGAGGGUAGUGGAAUUCCCAGUGUAGAGGUGAAAUUCGUAGAUAUUGGGAAGAACACCAGUGGCGAAGGCGGCUACCUGGCUUGGUACUGACGCUCAGGUGCGAAAGCGUGGGGAGCGAACAGG